RNAcentral lists this long non-coding RNA (1021 nucleotides) under Astyanax mexicanus (Mexican tetra). Its description in RNAcentral is "lncRNA (ENSAMXG00005014766.1)". The record is from RNAcentral. Lineage: Eukaryota; Metazoa; Chordata; Actinopteri; Characiformes; Acestrorhamphidae.
UUUUCUUGUUAUAUAUUUGUGUUGGUGUGAAGACUGGAAAUAGUUACGUAUGAACAUCAGUUAUGAUUGACAUAUAUAUUCUCAAUAUGUUCACUAUGGUGCUUUAAAUGCAUUUUUACAGCAGGAAAAUAUAUAAAAUAUUCAGUAUAUCAGCAGAAGUGAGAAACACCAGGCCUGGAUGCUUUUUCUGUUCAAACACUUUUUAAACCUGUUAUUUAUUUACUGUAUUAAUCGCUGGGUUUAUUAGAGUUAUAAUCAGUAAACUGGACUCUGGAGUUCUGAUCCUGUUACUGGGUGACAGAACCGGUAAACAUUACAGUACCAGGACCGAGUCCAGCACUGGAUACACACUCACUUCCUGUCUGACUGGUUUGUACUGGUCUGUUGCUACUGGAGACCAGUAACAGAUCACCGUCCCGUAAAAAUCUGCAGGAUCUCCAGAUGAUCUCCACCAGAACCUGGAUACUUUUCUCUAAUUUAAUAACUGAAUAAAUAACGACCCCACAGCAUGAAUACACCAAUCACAGCACGGCGCUGCAUUAGACCCGCCCCUCCCCGUAAACCAGUACUGCAGCACAGGGUGAACUGGGAGCGGGUUUACUGGGAGAGUCUGGGCCGCAGUCAGAGAGACCAGAGCCGACUGGGAUACAGGACUGAGCAGGCUCUGCGCGGGGAGAUCAGAGAGGGUGAGGGCGGUGGGCGGAGUCAUGUGAUCCCAGCGGGAACUUCACGAGGAAGUAAGAAUUCAUCCCAAACAUUCCUGAAGACGAAUACGGACUCUGACAGCUUCCAGAAACUUCUCUACCAGUCCAGGAAGGUGGUGCUGUUGGUGAAGCAGGGCUGCAGUUAUUUUCAGCUCCUGCAGGAUCAGGAGUUUGAGGAGGAGGAGAAGAGAGAGAGGAGGAGGAGGGAGGAGAGGAGAACCAUUCAGCCUCCAUCUGGAUCAGCCCUCUCCAACAGGUAGCACUGAUCACCAUCUCACUAUAGUGAUUAAUAGUGAUUAAUAGUGUUUUAUAUAUAU